This 483-nucleotide ribosomal RNA is filed under the name uncultured bacterium. RNAcentral describes it as "partial 16S ribosomal RNA". It matches the Rfam family "Bacterial small subunit ribosomal RNA", at positions 29 to 507 of the family's 1533-position model. The record is from RNAcentral.
AUUGAACGCUGGCGGAAUGCUUUACACAUGCAAGUCGAGCGGCAGCGCGGCCUUCGGGCUGGCGGCGAGCGGCGAACGGGUGAGUAAUGCAUCGGAACAUGCCCAGUCGUGGGGGAUAACACUUCGAAAGAAGUGCUAAUACCGCAUACGUCCUGAGGGGGAAAGCGGGGGAUCGCAAGACCUCGCGCGAUUGGAGUGGCCGAUGUCAGAUUAGCUAGUUGGUGGGGUAAAGGCCUACCAAGGCGACGAUCUGUAGCUGGUCUGAGAGGAUGAUCAGCCACAUGGGAAUUGGAAAAGGCCCCAGAUCCUUAGGGGAGGAGGAGGUGGGGAUUUUGGAAAAAGGGGGCAACCCUGAUCCAGCCAUUCCGCGUGAGUGAAGAAGGCCUUCGGGUUGUAAAGCUCUUUCGGCAGGAACGAAACGGUGGGCUCUAACAUAGUCCGCUAAUGACGGUACCUGAAGAAGAAGCACCGGCUAACUACGUG